Bubalus bubalis (water buffalo) is the source of this 2506-nucleotide long non-coding RNA. RefSeq lists it as uncharacterized. NCBI's taxonomy places the organism in Eukaryota, Metazoa, Chordata, Mammalia, Artiodactyla, Bovidae. The transcript has 2 exons. The record is from RefSeq and is a predicted model, not a curated record.
CUGGUGUGCUACAGCUCAUGGGAUCACAAAGAGUUGGUCACAACUGAGCAACUGAAUGAUAUAAUAUAUAUGUGUAUAUACAUAUAUAUAUAUCAGUGACUUUGCAACGUCUAAUAUAAGGUUUUGAGAAUCAGACCUCCCCACUGGAUGGAUUCCAGUCAAUAGAAGAUGCAGGACCCUGAAGAUGGAACUUCAAGGGGUUUCAAAGAGCAGAGGCAAACCUUGAACUCCUUAAAGGAUGGGAUGUAGGAGAUGGCAAGAGAACCAGAGCUGGAGAGUCACUGAGAACUAAGUCAGGGACCAGAGUCCUACAGAAGUUGUAUUGGGCAGCAGCUCAAAAUUCUCAGAAGUGUAGUGGCAAUUUAGGGAGACUCAAGGGGGGCCUCCCUGGUAGCUCAGCUGGUAAAGAAUCCUCACGCAGGAGAGGAGGUUCAAUGCAGGAGACCCUGGUUCAAUUCCUGGGUCAGGAAGAUCCCAUGGAGAAGGGAUAGGCUAUACCCACUCCAGUAUUCUGGCCUGGAAAAUUCCAUGGACUGUAUAGUUCAUGGGGUCUCAAAGAAUCGGACACGGCUAAAUGACUUUCAGGGUUUGUAGGAAAAACCCAAAGAAAGCAAGUCUUUGUAGCUGGAUAGAUGGGGUGAGCAUCUGACCUUUGUGCAUCAUUUUUCAGGGAAUGACGAUAGGGUGAAACUUCCCACCCGCCUUAUGACCAAGGGUGCAUAGUUGUGUGGCUUUAUUCCCAUCAUUGUUUGGACCAGUAAAUUAACUGGCCUUAUUUGCAUAAAUAUAAGACUAAAAAUAAGCUAAAAGAAACAUGGGCCACCUACCAUAAACAGGAAACUGCUAGCUUCACUAAACAGUUAAAAACCCAUAAAUACAUAAAAACCACAAUGAUGACAUGUAUUGCUAUAAGAAGGCUGAUGGAUCAAAGCCUGGAAAAUAAUUUGAUAUUGUAAGUCAAGAGAAGUUGAAAAAGUUUAUGUCUUUUGAUUAAUAACUUUAGUUCUAGAAAUCUAUUGGAGGGGGAAUCAUCAGUGUGGACAAAGAUGUGAGUUAAGGAUGUUUAUCAAAAUGUUAUUUAUGUUGGCAAAAAUUACAGCCAAUAAAAAGGAAAAGGACAGAAGGAAGAAAGGAAAUAACCCAAGUAUUCAACAGUGAGGAAAUGUUUAAAGAAGUUACGGCAUGCACGUUUGAUGUAACUGCAUGGCUAUUAAAAGCCAUGUUUUUGAAAAAUAUUUAAUGACCUGAAAAAUGUUUCUGAUGUAGUGAGUGAGAUACAAAAUUACAUAUGCAAUUGUAGUCUUGCCCAGUUUUGUAUAUACAUAUAUAUUGAAUAUUUAUCCUGAAAAGUACAUAUAAAAACUUGGAAGGACAUACAGACAAGUUUAAAAGUUACUUGUAGGACUUCCCUGGUAGUUUAGUGGUUAAAACUUCCGUUGCAGGGAGCGUGGGUUUGAUCCGUGGUUGGGGAACUAAGAUUCUGCAUGCCACACAGUGUGGCCAAAAUUUUUUAAAAUAAGUAAAAAUUAAUAAAAAGUUAUAUGUGUUUGUUGGAAUAUUAGAUAAUUUUUAUUUUCUUCUUUGUCUCAAAGUAUUUGUCAAAUUUCUAUAAUGAUUAUAUUAUUGUAAACAAUAACCUGUAUAUUUAGAGAGCAAGACCUGGGUUUCUUAUUUAUUCUACAGUCAAUAGUGAAAAGACCCAAGCCAGGCCUUCGAGGACCUUCCAGUUUGCAGGAGAAACAGCCAAGCAAACAGGGACAGGAAGUUACGCUACAGAAUGCAAUUAUUCCUCCUCCCCUGGAAACUUUUGAAGACCUAGGAGGAAAGAGGAACCAAGCAUUUUGGUUGCUGAUGAUUUGGGCUCUGGGUUGAAUAGACUAUCUAUUGUGAAAGUGUAUUGUGCAAAAAGAGAAUGGGGCUUUUUGUGAAGGGAGAUAAAGAGAGUGUGGGGUGGGGACUGGGAGGGUGGGGGAGGAGGAGGCAGGCCUGGAAGCGGGGUGAGUGGACUGUGAGCAGAGCGGUCCUGAAGGUCCCCCUAAGUCAUCCUCCCCACCCUUCACCUGGGUCCCAGUGUCCAGGCUAGCAGCUUACCUGGCUUUGCAUUCUUAACAGGGCCUCAGUCAAUGCUCUGUCAGUGUUUAUCGUCCAUAAGAACAGAUGAAUGAAUGAGCAUGUAACCUCAGGGAUCACCCUCAUGAAUAUCCUUUAAGGCAUUAAUGAAACAUGUUGUCUGAAGAAGAAAGACUCCAUUGUGAAACCACAAUGAUGAGCGAGGCAGGAAGGGAAUUGAACGUCUCCUCUCCACCAAGACAACAAGGCUGUUAAGGAUGGGUGCCAUGGCUGCCAUCUUGCUGUUUCAGGAAAGUGAGGCCAACGUGAAGGAGAACAGAGCUGAGAAACGGGACUUGGAAUUAAUCGUCCUGUGAUCCUUUGAUCCAGCUGCACCUGAAGCUCCACCUACACUGAGGUUUUAGUUCUAUGCAUCAAUAAAUACACUUUGGUUAAA